CUAAUACAUGCAAGUCGAGCGGACAGAAGGGAGCUUGCUCCCGGAUGUUAGCGGCGGACGGGUGAGUAACACGUGGGUAACCUGCCUGUAAGACUGGGAUAACUCCGGGAAACCGGAGCUAAUACCGGAUAGUUCCUUGAACCGCAUGGUUCAAGGAUGAAAGACGGUUUCGGCUGUCACUUACAGAUGGACCCGCGGCGCAUUAGCUAGUUGGUGAGGUAACGGCUCACCAAGGCGACGAUGCGUAGCCGACCUGAGAGGGUGAUCGGCCACACUGGGACUGAGACACGGCCCAGACUCCUACGGGAGGCAGCAGUAGGGAAUCUUCCGCAAUGGACGAAAGUCUGACGGAGCAACGCCGCGUGAGUGAUGAAGGUUUUCGGAUCGUAAAGCUCUGUUGUUAGGGAAGAACAAGUG
Molecule: ribosomal RNA, 417 nt
Filed under: Bacillus pumilus
Lineage: Bacteria; Bacillati; Bacillota; Bacilli; Caryophanales; Bacillaceae
Description: bacterial SSU rRNA
Rfam family: Bacterial small subunit ribosomal RNA
Source: RNAcentral